This 388-nucleotide ribosomal RNA is filed under the name uncultured bacterium. RNAcentral describes it as "bacterial SSU rRNA". It matches the Rfam family "Bacterial small subunit ribosomal RNA", at positions 28 to 418 of the family's 1533-position model. The record is from RNAcentral.
AUUGAACGCUGGCGGCAUGCUUUACACAUGCAAGUCGAACGGCAGCGGGGGCUUCGGCCUGCCGGCGAGUGGCGAACGGGUGAGUAAUGCAUCGGAACGUACCCAGUCAUGGGGGAUAACUACGCGAAAGCGUAGCUAAUACCGCAUACGCCCUGAGGGGGAAAGCGGGGGAUCGCAAGACCUCGCGUGAUUGGAGCGGCCGAUGUCGGAUUAGCUAGUUGGUGGGGUAAAGGCCUACCAAGGCGACGAUCCGUAGCGGGUCUGAGAGGAUGAUCCGCCACACUGGGACUGAGACACGGCCCAGACUCCUACGGGAGGCAGCAGUGGGGAAUUUUGGACAAUGGGCGCAAGCCUGAUCCAGCCAUGCCGCGUGUCUGAAGAAGGCCUU